GUGUCUUCGCUGUGACGGCAUAUAUACAAAAAUUGGAAUGAUAUGAAGGAGAUUAGCAUGGCCCCUGUGCAAGGAUGACAUGCAAAUUUGUGAAGCCUUUCAUAUUUUU
This is a small nuclear RNA of Hyaena hyaena (striped hyena), 109 nucleotides long. Lineage: Eukaryota; Metazoa; Chordata; Mammalia; Carnivora; Hyaenidae. The record is from RefSeq and is a predicted model, not a curated record.